GUGCUAUCGCUCCAGCACAUAUACUAAAAUUAGAACGACACAGAGAAGAUUAGCAUGACCCAAAAAGCAAAUAAAUAAAUAAAUAAAUAACUGUCACUGUCCU
Molecule: small nuclear RNA, 103 nt
Organism: Sorex fumeus (smoky shrew)
Lineage: Eukaryota; Metazoa; Chordata; Mammalia; Eulipotyphla; Soricidae
Source: RefSeq, a predicted model, not a curated record